Molecule: long non-coding RNA, 633 nt
Filed under: Malus domestica (apple)
Lineage: Eukaryota; Viridiplantae; Streptophyta; Magnoliopsida; Rosales; Rosaceae
Description: long non-coding RNA (MDOM_LNC020530)
Source: RNAcentral
ACAAUUCACAAUUCAAUCCAGAAAUUCGUCCAACCGUCUCCUCACUCUUGCCGCACCCACCAAACACCAUUCCCCCUAGUUCUAAAGUCUUGCCGCCGCACCAUCCCCACCCCCUAAACACUACUACAUCCAUCCAUAACCAUGCAUCCAUACACCUAAAGUCCCAACCUGUCCCUAAAGUCCUUUGCUGCACCAAGGAGGAGGAGAAGGAAGCUCGGAAGUUCAUGCAAUUCAAGUUCGCGUCGCUGGAAUUUCUAGGUGUUUCUUUUCCUUUGAUUUCAAUGUUUAAAUUCAAUUCUCUUUGUUUUGUGCGUAUGAGGAACUAAACCCCCCUUGGCUAGGGGGGAUUCGAAAUACAUGUUUAUGCUUGUGUUAUGAUUUGAUUACUUCUAAUUGCGUUUCAUAAGUUGUGAAUUCAAUUUACUUAUUUAUGAGAAUUACAUUGAUUUGUGUGUGUUGGUCGAGAGUGCACGCUUAAUUAUCAUGCAUAAAUUGAAUGCUAGGAUAUAAGGAAAUUUCACCUAAUCGUUAUGGAAUUAUAUUCACAAGUAGUAAAGGUUGAUAAUCUCAAUCGCGUUAAGUAAAUUCUUGGCAUAAGUUUCAUGCAAUCAUAGUAACAAGUGCUUCGUCAAU